AAAGAAAGUCGAAAUGUCGACUUUUCAUAAAAUGCAAAAUGUCGAAAAGUCGACUUUUCAUAAAAUGCAAAAAGUCUAAAAGUCGAAAAGUCGACUUUUCGUUUCAACUAUAGAACCCUACUAUGGACUUCUCUGCGAGAUAUUCUAUAUACUACAACAUGAACUAGUCUAUAAACUAGUUUAAAAACUAAUCUAUUGACUAGUCAAAGAACUAGAUUAUAGCCUAUCCUAUGAGCUAGUCCAUGAACUAGUGUUUGACUUGUCAAUUAAUUGUCUACGGACUAGUAUAUUAACUACCACAUUAACUAGUAUCUAUACUACUACUACUACUAUUUUUUGAACUCAAUAGACUAGUCAAUGUUGUAGACUAAGAAUAAGACUUUAGACUAUUCAACUGACUAGUCUAUGACAUAUUUUAUUAGCUAGUCAAUUGAUUUGUUUAUGGAUUAUUCCUUUAACUUGUUAAUAAACUAGUCUAUGAAGAAACUAUUGACCAAUAUAUAUAUUAUACUACUCUGUUGGCUUGUCUAUUAACGAGUAGACUCGGAUUAGUCUAUUGACUAGUGUCUGGAUUAGUCUAUUGUCUAGUGUAAGAAGUACAAUAUUUGUUAGUCUUUAAGCAAACCUAUAGCAUAGUCUUUGAACUAGUUUCCUGACUAGUUUAUGGCACAAUUAUUAUUGGAGUCAUAUCCAUAACUUUAAUAAGUUUCCCUUUUGUAAAUUUUUAUUGGCAACACUGUUAUUAACCAUUAAUUGUUUAUACUCUUUCUCUCUCAUCUAUACACAAGAUCCGUUAAAAGAAAAACAACAAAAAAUAUGAAUAAUGGCUGGCUACUGGCUACGAUCAAAACCUAAAGAGUUUUUAGUGUAAAAUUAAGUCGAGUGAGUUGUGGUCGGUUCGUGAAGUGUAGUUGUAUUUUUCAUUUAAUUAAAAAAAAAAACAAAAAUAAAUAAAUAAAUUUUACAAAAAAAUAAGAAAAUACUUAUAAAUUGAUUUGAGUCAUAAAUAAGAAAUAAUUAAAUACAGGUUUUUUUCCACUAAAUUUUAUAAAGAAAUUUGUUUUGAUUAAUAAAACAAAUAUUCAUUAUUAUUUUUCUAUUAAAAUACAACAAAAUUUUCUUUAACUUGUUUUACAACUACAAAAAAAAUCAGAAGUUCUUUUACCACAACUACUUUUAACUUCGUUUGACUUUGUUUUACAAACAAGGAAUCGUACGAAGUCUUUUAACAACAAUAACAAAAACAACCUAUAAAAACAUAAACCGGAAAUACCCUUGAAUUUGCUUUUUCUUCUCUCUCUCUCUCUUUAACAUUCACUCUACGAAGAAGUCAAUGUUUGUAAUGAUUGUAAAGAUUGUUAAGAUAUAUUGAAAGUGUCGAGAAUUGCAGCAGUAGCAACAACAACAAUAACAACAACGUGAAUUCAUCAACUUAAAGCAAUUCAGGUGUUUCCAGUAAAAUUAUAACAACAACAACCACAAAAAGUGUUUAUAUAUUUUGGAAUUUUUAUUUUCAAAUUAAACUUUCUUUAAAUAAUCUGUAUGUUUUAAUAAUUAU
This 1558-nucleotide long non-coding RNA is filed under the name Lucilia cuprina (Australian sheep blowfly). RNAcentral describes it as "uncharacterized LOC124420734". The record is from RNAcentral. Lineage: Eukaryota; Metazoa; Arthropoda; Insecta; Diptera; Calliphoridae.